RNAcentral lists this microRNA precursor (86 nucleotides) under Daucus carota subsp. sativus. Its description in RNAcentral is "sRNA DCAR_mi00035". It matches the Rfam family "mir-156 microRNA precursor family". Rfam says of the family: This family represents the plant microRNA (miRNA) precursor mir-156. Animal miRNAs are transcribed as ~70nt precursors and subsequently processed by the Dicer enzyme to give a ~22nt product. Lineage: Eukaryota; Viridiplantae; Streptophyta; Magnoliopsida; Apiales; Apiaceae. The record is from Rfam by way of RNAcentral.
AUGACAGAAGAGAGUGAGCACACAUAGUAAUUUUCUUGCAAGAUGGAUAUGCUGGAAGCUCUGUGUGCUCACCCUCUAUCUGUCAU